GCGACACUAGCUCAGUUGGUAGAUAGAGCGCAACCUUGCCAAGGUUGAGGUCAUCGGUUCGAACCCGAUGUGUCGCUCCA
This 80-nucleotide transfer RNA is filed under the name Vibrio sinensis. RNAcentral describes it as "Vibrio sp. BEI233 tRNA-Gly". It matches the Rfam family "tRNA". Rfam says of the family: Transfer RNA (tRNA) molecules are approximately 80 nucleotides in length. Their secondary structure includes four short double-helical elements and three loops (D, anti-codon, and T loops). Further hydrogen bonds mediate the characteristic L-shaped molecular structure. tRNAs have two regions of fundamental functional importance: the anti-codon, which is responsible for specific mRNA codon recognition, and the 3' end, to which the tRNAs corresponding amino acid is attached (by aminoacyl-tRNA synthetases). tRNAs cope with the degeneracy of the genetic code in two manners: having more than one tRNA (with a specific anti-codon) for a particular amino acid; and 'wobble' base-pairing, i.e. permitting non-standard base-pairing at the 3rd anti-codon position. Lineage: Bacteria; Pseudomonadati; Pseudomonadota; Gammaproteobacteria; Vibrionales; Vibrionaceae. The record is from RNAcentral.